RNAcentral lists this ribosomal RNA (1178 nucleotides) under human gut metagenome. Its description in RNAcentral is "bacterial SSU rRNA". It matches the Rfam family "Bacterial small subunit ribosomal RNA", at positions 337 to 1512 of the family's 1533-position model. The record is from RNAcentral.
UCCUACGGGAGGCAGCAGUAGGGAAUUUUCGGCAAUGGGCGAAAGCCUGACCGAGCAAUGCCGCGUGAAUGAAGAAAUUCUUCGGAAUGUAAAAUUCUGUGGUGAGGGAAGAAAGGUAUUAGAAGGAAAUGGCUAAUAUUUGACGGUACCUUACUAGAAAGCCCCGGCUAACUAUGUGCCAGCAGCCGCGGUAAUACAUAGGGGGCAAGCGUUAUCCGGAAUUAUUGGGCGUAAAGCGUGCGUAGGCGGCCACUUAAGUCUGUCGUGAAAGCCCACAGCUUAACUGUGGAGGGUCGAUGGAAACUGAGAGGCUUGAAUCUAGGAGAGGUAAGUGGAAUUCCAUGUGUAGCGGUAAAAUGCUUAGAUAUAUGGAGGAACACCAGUGGCGAAGGCGGCUUACUGGUCUAGAAUUGACGCUGAUGCACGAAAGCGUGGGUAGCAAACAGGAUUAGAUACCCUGGUAGUCCACGCCGUAAACGAUGAGCACUAAGUGUCGGACGUAAGUUCGGUGCUGAAGUUAACGCAUUAAGUGCUCCGCCUGGGGAGUACGGUCGCAAGACUGAAACUCAAAGGAAUUGACGGGGACUCGCACAAGCGGUGGAGCAUGUGGUUUAAUUCGACGCAACGCGAAAAACCUUACCAGGCCUUGACAUACCGAUGACGUCUUUAGAGAUAGAGAGUUACCUUCGGGUACAUCGGAUACAGGUGGUGCAUGGUUGUCGUCAGCUCGUGUCGUGAGAUGUUGGGUUAAGUCCCGCAACGAGCGCAACCCUUAUCAUUAGUUGCUAACAGUCAGAUGAGCACUCUAAUGAGACUGCCAGCGAAAAGUUGGAGGAAGGUGGGGAUGACGUCAAAUCAUCAUGCCCCUUAUGGCCUGGGCUACACACGUGCUACAAUGGCUGGUACAAAGAGGAGCAAAGCUGUGAAGUGGAGCAAAUCUCAAAAAGCCAGUCUCAGUUCGGAUUGUAGUCUGCAACUCGACUACAUGAAGUUGGAAUCGCUAGUAAUCGUAAAUCAGCAUGUUACGGUGAAUACGUUCUCGAGUCUUGUACACACCGCCCGUCACACCAUGAGAGUUUGUAAUACCCGAAGCCGGUGGCUUAACCGCAAGGAGAGAGCCGUCUAAGGUAGGACAGAUGAUUGGGGUGAAGUCGUAACAAGGUAUCCCUACGAGAACG